This 301-nucleotide ribosomal RNA is filed under the name uncultured bacterium. RNAcentral describes it as "partial 16S ribosomal RNA". It matches the Rfam family "Bacterial small subunit ribosomal RNA", at positions 509 to 807 of the family's 1533-position model. The record is from RNAcentral.
CAGCAGCCACGGUAAUACGAAGGGGGCUAGCGUUGUUCGGAAUUACUGGGCGUAAAGCGCACGUAGGCGGAUAUUUAAGUCAGGGGUGAAAUCCCAGAGCUCAACUCUGGAACUGCCUUUGAUACUGGGUAUCUUGAGUAUGGAAGAGGUAAGUGGAAUUCCGAGUGUAGAGGUGAAAUUCGUAGAUAUUCGGAGGAACACCAGUGGCGAAGGCGGCUUACUGGUCCAUUACUGACGCUGAGGUGCGAAAGCGUGGGGAGCAAACAGGAUUAGAUACCCCCGUAGUCCCUGUCUCUUAUAC